UGGGGGAUAUUGCACAAUGGGGGAAACCCUGAUGCAGCGACGCCGCGUGAGUGAAGAAGUAUUUCGGUAUGUAAAGCUCUAUCAGCAGGGAAGAAAAUGACGGUACCUGACUAAGAAGCCCCGGCUAACUACGUGCCAGCAGCCGCGGUAAUACGUAGGGGGCAAGCGUUAUCCGGAUUUACUGGGUGUAAAGGGAGCGUAGACGGCAAUACAAGUCGGAAGUGAAAUACCCGGGCUCAACCCGGGAACUGCUUUGGAAACUGUAUGGCUGGAGUGCUGGAGAGGUAAGCGGAAUUCCUAGUGUAGCGGUGAAAUGCGUAGAUAUUAGGAGGAACACCAGUGGCGAAGGCGGCUUACUGGACAGUAACUGACGUUGAGGCUCGAAAGCGUGGGGAGCAAACAGGAUUAGAUACCC
This 415-nucleotide ribosomal RNA is filed under the name uncultured bacterium. RNAcentral describes it as "bacterial SSU rRNA". It matches the Rfam family "Bacterial small subunit ribosomal RNA", at positions 355 to 787 of the family's 1533-position model. The record is from RNAcentral.